GUCGAGAGGCUUUGGCAAUGGGGGAAACCCUGACCAAGCGACGCCGCGUGGGCGAUGAAGGCCUUACGGUUGUAAAGCCCUGUCAUGGGGGAAGAAAAAGCGGUGGGUGAACAGCCCAUGGCUCUGACGGUACCCCAGAAGGAAGCUCCGGCUAACUCCGUGCCAGCAGCCGCGGUAAUACGGGGGGAGCGAGCGUUGUUCGGAAUCACUGGGCGUAAAGGGCGCGUAGGCGGCUGAGUAAGUCAGAGGUGAAAUACCAGGGCUUAACCUUGGAAUUGCCUUUGAUACUGCUUGGCUAGAGGGCGGAAGAGGAUAGUGGAAUUCCUGGUGUAGCGGUGAAAUGCGUAGAUAUCAGGAAGAACACCGGUGGCGAAGGCGGCUAUCUGGUCCGCUUCUGACGCUGAGGCGCGAAAGCCAGGGGAGCAAACGGGAUUAGAUACCCGAGUAGUCC
This 451-nucleotide ribosomal RNA is filed under the name uncultured bacterium. Its description in RNAcentral is "bacterial SSU rRNA". It matches the Rfam family "Bacterial small subunit ribosomal RNA", at positions 354 to 796 of the family's 1533-position model. The record is from RNAcentral.